RNAcentral lists this unclassified non-coding RNA (2427 nucleotides) under Hevea brasiliensis (rubber tree). Lineage: Eukaryota; Viridiplantae; Streptophyta; Magnoliopsida; Malpighiales; Euphorbiaceae. The record is from RNAcentral.
GGGUGGGCAAGGACAAGAAUUUAGGGAAUUUAGGGAAGCAGAAGAGUAAGAACACCAUAAUCAAAGAAGAAACUAUCUCAAGUCAAUCCAAUAAAGAGAAGGUUAAUAACAGUGAAAAACCUGAACAUCAUCAAGAAGAAGAGGAAGAAGAAAUAGCUUCUGAUUCUGAGUCUGACUACCAGGAACUUUCUGAUUAUGAGGAUGAGUUUUAUGAAUCAUCUGGAGGGUCAGAGUCUGGAGAAAGCAAUUCUUCUGGUGAUGAGGGUUCUAUUGACACGGACAAUGGUGAUCGCAUGGAUAAUGAAGAUCAAAGCAAUGAUUCAGAAUCUGAUAAAGUGGCUGAAGAAAGUGAUUCUUCCGAGGACGAGGUGGCACCUCGAAAUACAAUUGGAGAUGUUCCCUUGAAGUGGUAUGAGGAUGAAAAACACAUUGGAUAUGACAUUACUGGAAAGAAGAUAACAAAGAAAGAGAGGCAAGAUAAACUGGAGUCAUUUCUUGCAAGUGCUGAUGACUCUGAAAAUUGGCGCAAGAUUUAUGAUGAAUACAAUGAUGAGGUGGUUGAGCUGACAAAAGAAGAAAUCAAAGUUAUUCGUAGAUUGGUCAAAGGAAAAGCGCCACAUCUCGACUUUGAUCCAUAUCCAACGUACAGUGACUGGUUUAAAUGGGACGCUAAGCACCCACUAUCAAAUGCUCCAGAACCAAAGAGGCGGUUUACUCCCUCAAAGUGGGAAGCUAAAAUGGUUGUUAAGUAUGUUAGGGCAAUUCGCAAAGGUUUAUUAAAGUUUGACAAGCCAAAAGAAGAACCACGUUUUCACCUGUUGUGGGGGGAUGAUUCUGGCUCGGCAGAAAAGGCUGCACAUUUAUCAUACAUUCCUGCACCAAAGCCAAAAUUGCCAGGCCAUGAGGAGUCAUAUAAUCCUUCUCUCGAAUACAUACCAACACAGGAAGAGAUUAAUUCUUAUCAGCUGAUGGAUGAGGAAGACCGACCUAAAUUUAUACCUAAACGGUAUACAUCUCUUAGAAGUAUUCCAGCAUAUGAGAAUGCUGUUAAGGACUCUUUUGAGCGUUGUUUGGAUCUAUACUUAUGUCCUAGAGUUCGCAAGAAACGUAUAAAUAUUGAUCCCAAAUCCUUGAAACCGAAGCUACCAAGUAGAAAAGAUCUUAAGCCCUACCCAGUGACAUGCUAUCUUGAGUAUAAAGGUCACAAUGGUGCAGUUAUGUCAAUUUCUACUGAAGCUUCAGGACAGUGGAUUGCUUCAGGUUCAACUGAUGGAACUGUGCGUGUUUGGGAGGUUGAGACUGGUAGAUGUCUUAAAAUCUGGGAGUUUAGUGAAGCUGUCCAGUGUGUAGCAUGGAGUCCUUUGCACGAGCUUCCUAUCUUGGCGAUCUCUGUGGGACAAGAUGUAAUUGUUUUGAACACAGGAUUGGGCAAUGAAGAAGUGCAGAAAAAAGUAAAGGAACUUCUUCAUGUUGAGAUGUCUAUUCUGGCAGAUGAUUCUGGUAACAAGAGCUCCAGUUUGAGCUGGGUUCGAGAUGAGAAACAUGAAGGAAUAAAAUUGAGGCAUUUUAGGACUGUAUCUGCAGUAGAAUGGCAUCGUAAAGGGGACUAUUUCUGUACUGUGAUGCCAGCUGGGGAAUCAAAAGCAGUUCUUAUACACCAGCUUUCUAAGAAGCUUACACAAAGACUUCCAUUUAAGCUGCGUGGGCUUCCAGUAUCAUCAGUUUUUCAUCCUACUCGUUCUGUGUUCUUUGUUGCAACAAAGAAGAAUGUUCGCGUUUAUGAUUUGUUAAAGCACAAGCUGAUUAAGAAGCUUGAGACAGGACUCCGUGAAGUUUCAUCCAUUGCAGUUCAUCCUGCUGGUGAUAAUGUAAUUGUGGGAAGCAAGGAGGGAAAAUUAUGUUGGUUUGAUAUGGACCUUUCAUCUAAGCCUUACAAAAUUCUUAAGUGUCAUCCGAAAGAUAUAACAAGCGUGGUGUUCCAUCGUUCAUACCCGCUAUUUGCAUCAUGCUCUGAUGAUUGCACUGCAUAUGUUUUUCAUGGCAUGGUUUAUUCUGAUCUUAAUCAGAACCCUCUUAUCGUUCCACUGGAAAUUCUCCGUGGACAUUCAAGCUCAAAUGGAAGAGGAAUAAUGGAUUGUAAGUUCCAUCCUCGGCAACCUUGGUUAUUCACUGCUGGCGCAGAUUCAUCAAUCAAACUUUAUUGUCACUAGGAUGACCUAAAAGAAGCAUGAUCACCGAGUUGUGACAUUGAAGGAUGAUUAGGAUUUCAGACGUUCCCCAAUGCUGGGUUGUAUGCUACAAGGUAUUUGUUCAAGCAUUAUAGAUAAACUGGUCCAUGUAGUGGGGCUUUAGCAUUGAUUUAGAUUGUUGUCUUUGUUAACUGGGCAGGCCACAGUUGUAUUUUGAACAGGACAAAACUUGUCCUCU